Fragaria vesca subsp. vesca is the source of this 1795-nucleotide RNA transcript. RefSeq lists it as uncharacterized. The transcript has 3 exons. The record is from RefSeq and is a predicted model, not a curated record. NCBI's taxonomy places the organism in Eukaryota, Viridiplantae, Streptophyta, Magnoliopsida, Rosales, Rosaceae.
CCCAUUCCCAAAUCCUCCUCAAGAAAUGGCUCUCCACACCCUCCUUCUGAUCCUCUUAGCUCUCAACCACUUUCAAUCUUCUACCUCUCUAAUUUCCACCCCCGAUCUGAAUUCUCGCUACCCGAGUCCCAGAGCCAUCUCGGAUUUGAAGGAGGCGAUAGUGAAAGGGAUGGGAUUCCAAGCCGAUGAUCUGAAGAUAUCGGGGUUUGAUCUGAGGGAAGCGCAGGUGGGGCAUUCGGUGGCGUAUGAGUUUGACGUGGAGGUAGAUAACAAGGUGCUGCCUUUUAAGCUUUUGGAGGAUGUUGACCGCUGGGAGUACGUUGACCUCCCGUUGUUUCGGGUCGAGGAUGAGAACGGGUUGGUCCAGAAGGAGAAGCUGGAUCAAGGCUUGCCUCCGGUUUUGGCUCCGUUUCAGUUGGCCGGCCCGAUGGAGCUGUGGAUUCAGGACGGUAAAGACAUGAGGCUAUCGCUUCCGCAUGAUGUGGAUGCUGGUGUGUUGAAGAAGGUGAUUUUAGCAGAAGGGGCUGUGGUUACCGUGACGGGUGCUAGGUCAGUGAGCCUAAGGCACCCUCUUCAGCUCCCAUUGCCAUUGAAUCGAACUAGCAGUGGUGUUGCUUCUGGGCUUGUUGCCCUAGCUGAAUGGCUACGUCAUGCUUCUAGAACCGAAUCAGCUCCGUUGCUGUCUCUCCGUAUUGUUGGUCCAACUGCUCUUACAUCCCCUGCUUCAACCUCAUCCUCCAUGAACAACAAGCUCAAGCUUAAGCGGCUUGCUCCUGGCCUUGUGGAGUUGUCAUCACCAGCUAACACAAGACCCAUGUCUGUUGAGCUACAAAACCAAGAGACCACCAUUUUAACUCCAAAAUAUUUCACAACUGUUUGGCCCCUUACUUCUGUUAAUGGGUCGAAUGGCAACUUGCUGGCUUUUGAGACACUGCUUUCGACUGUUCUUGGUCCCAAGGCAAACCAAAAAGGCUCCUUUAAAUUGUUGAAGGCAGAUGUGUCGGCGCAGACGUUUUUGAAGAUUGGGUUUGGGGUGGAGAAGAAGGUGAAAGAAGGAAAUGGGAUAGACUGGACAGGUUUUCCAGCAUGGAGGACAAAGCCUGAGACUGUAAGGAUGCAUUUUGAGGUGCUCGCCAAGGUUGAUGGUGAUAAAAUUGUGCCAGAGAGAGUGGUUCCAGUUAACCCUGUCAUCUUGGAGGAUACUAUCACACCUAAUGUCCUGUCCGGGAAUGUCUCCAUGUCCAGGACCCCGUAGCUCAACCUCCCCCUAUUCCCUUCACCUUGUAAAUCGUCUUUUUUAUGGGAUUCUGGAUAGAGUCUGAUAGAGUAAAAAUGAAACAGUUUUUGUUUUGAAAGAUUAUGGGGUUAGAUGAGGUCUGAUACUGUAAAUAUACCAUACGUUACUAAAGGCUGCAAUUGUUUUUUCUCUCUUUGAUUGUCCAAUAAGGUUUGAGGAGUGAGAAUGUGAGGGCUGCUUUGUUAGUGUUAUGUAGCAUGUACACCAUGAAAGUGAAAUGAAGACAUGUUUUCUUAUAUAUACUUUACAUUAAGCUUCGUAUGUUUGAACUUGCAAGGUUAAAUAUGUGACGGUAUAAUACUACCUGGUUUAUUCAUGUCCUCCAAGUACAUUCAGAGAAACAACAGCAACUAUCAGAUCCCUUGUAAGUGACUAAAAUUUACUUCCUGAUGAAUGAAACACCCUUUUCGAUGCUUCCUGCCAACUCUCUUUUUGCCUUCUCUAAACCGAUCCUGCUGACGGCCAAGACAAUAGAGUUUGUAAGAGGAAAUGAAGAAG